UUGAUACAGAGAUUAGCAUGGCCCCUGAGCAAGGAUGACAUGCAAAUUCGUGAAGCGUUCCUUAUUUUU
Molecule: small nuclear RNA, 69 nt
Filed under: Dipodomys ordii (Ord's kangaroo rat)
Lineage: Eukaryota; Metazoa; Chordata; Mammalia; Rodentia; Heteromyidae
Source: RNAcentral